GGAGAUAUAGCUCAGUUGGUAGAGCGGUGGACUGAAAAUCCAUGUGGACUGGUUCGAUUCCAGUUAUCUCCA
RNAcentral lists this transfer RNA (72 nucleotides) under Sphingobacterium sp. ML3W. RNAcentral's name for it is "tRNA-Phe (GAA) (tRNA-Phe-GAA-4-1)". It matches the Rfam family "tRNA". Rfam says of the family: Transfer RNA (tRNA) molecules are approximately 80 nucleotides in length. Their secondary structure includes four short double-helical elements and three loops (D, anti-codon, and T loops). The record is from Rfam by way of RNAcentral. Lineage: Bacteria; Pseudomonadati; Bacteroidota; Sphingobacteriia; Sphingobacteriales; Sphingobacteriaceae.